UACAGAGGGUGCAAGCGUUGUUCGGAAUUAUUGGGCGUAAAGGGUGCGUAGGCGGUGCGGUAAGUCUGUAGUGAAAUCUCUGGGCUCAACUCAGAGUCUGCUAUAGAAACUGCCGUGCUUGAGUGUGGGAGAGGUGAGUGGAAUUCCCGGUGUAGCGGUGAAAUGCGUAGAGAUCAGGAAGAACACCCGUGGCGAAGGCGGCCCACUGGGCCGGUGCUGACGCUGAGGCGCGAAGGCGUGGGGAGCGAACGGG
This 253-nucleotide ribosomal RNA is filed under the name uncultured bacterium. RNAcentral describes it as "partial 16S ribosomal RNA". It matches the Rfam family "Bacterial small subunit ribosomal RNA", at positions 524 to 776 of the family's 1533-position model. The record is from RNAcentral.